This 253-nucleotide ribosomal RNA is filed under the name uncultured bacterium. RNAcentral describes it as "partial 16S ribosomal RNA". It matches the Rfam family "Bacterial small subunit ribosomal RNA", at positions 524 to 776 of the family's 1533-position model. RNAcentral also lists the same sequence under 1 other name. The record is from RNAcentral.
UACAGAGGGUGCAAGCGUUAAUCGGAUUUACUGGGCGUAAAGGGCGCGUAGGUGGUUGUGUAAGUGAGAUGUGAAAUCCCCGGGCUUAACCUGGGAACUGCAUCUUAGACUGCAUAACUGGAGUGCGAUAGAGGGUAGUGGAAUUUCCGGUGUAGCGGUGAAAUGCGUAGAUAUCGGAAGGAACACCAGUGGCGAAGGCGGCUACCUGGAUCGACACUGACACUGAGGCGCGAGAGCGUGGGGAGCAAACAGG